AGAGUUUGAUCAUGGCUCAGAGCGAACGCUGGCGGCAGGCCUAAAACAUGCAAGUCGAACGAACCCUUUGGGGUUAGUGGCGGACGGGUGAGUAACACGUGGGAACGUGCCCUUUGGUUCGGAACAACUCAGGGAAACUUGAGCUAAUACCGGAUGUGCCCUUCGGGGGAAAGAUUUAUCGCCAUUGGAGCGGCCCGCGUCUGAUUAGCUAGUUGGUGAGGUAGAGGCUCACCAAGGCUACGAUCAGUAGCUGGUCUGAGAGGAUGAUCAGCCACACUGGGACUGAGACACGGCCCAGACUCCUACGGGAGGCAGCAGUUAGGAAUCUUGCGCAAUGGGCGAAAGCCUGACGCAGCCAUGCCGCGUGAAUGAUGAAGGUCUUAGGAUUGUAAAAUUCUUUCAGCGGGGACGAUAAUGACGGUACCCGCAGAAGAAGCUCCGGCUAACUUCGUGCCAGCAGCCGCGGUAAUACGAAGGGGGCUAGCGUUGCUCGGAAUUACUGGGCGUAAAGGGCGCGUAGGCGGACAGCUAAGUCAGAGGUGAAAGCCCAGGGCUCAACCUUGGAACUGCCUUUGAUACUGGCUGUCUUGAGUUCGGGAGAGGUGUGUGGAACUCCGAGUGUAGAGGUGAAAUUCGUAGAUAUUCGGAAGAACACCAGUGGCGAAGGCGACACACUGGCCCGAUACUGACGCUGAGGCGCGAAAGCGUGGGGAGCAAACAGGAUUAGAUACCCUAGUAGUCC
RNAcentral lists this ribosomal RNA (742 nucleotides) under uncultured bacterium. RNAcentral describes it as "bacterial SSU rRNA". It matches the Rfam family "Bacterial small subunit ribosomal RNA", at positions 8 to 796 of the family's 1533-position model. The record is from RNAcentral.